Molecule: ribosomal RNA, 486 nt
Filed under: Prosymna janii
Lineage: Eukaryota; Metazoa; Chordata; Lepidosauria; Squamata; Prosymnidae
Description: partial 16S ribosomal RNA
Rfam family: Bacterial large subunit ribosomal RNA
Source: RNAcentral
AGCAUUAAAGGCAACACCUGCCCAGUGAACAAUUAAACGGCCGCGGUACCCUAACCGUGCAAAGGUAGCGUAAUCACUUGUCUAUUAAUUGUAGACCUGUAUGAAAGGUAAAAUGAGGAUCCAACUGUCUCUUAUAAUAAAUCAAUUAAACUGAUCCCCCAGUACAAAAGCUGGGAUUUAACCAUAAGACCAGAAGACCCUGUGAAGCUUAAACUAACCUAUUAAACCUAAUAAUAGCCACUUUCGGUUGGGGCGACCUUGGAAAAAAAAAGAACUUCCAACAAUAUGACCUUAAUCAUCUACAGGCCAACAAGCCUAAAUGACCCAGCACAGCUGAUAAUCGGACCAAGUUACUCCAGGGAUAACAGCGCUAUCUUCUUCAAGAGCCCAUAUCAAAAAGAAGGUUUACGACCUCGAUGUUGGAUCAGGACAUCCUAAUGGUGCAGUCGCUAUUAAGGGUUCGUUUGUUCAACGAUUAACAGUCCU